CCCGGCCGGGCCCCGCGCCCCGAUCACCACGGCCGGCGCUCGGCUGCUUCCGGUGGGGCCUGCGCUCUCCGCGGCGGCUCGCGCGUUCUGCUCGCCGGCGGCCUCAUGCAGGCUGAGCGCGGGGCUAGGGGCGGCCGCGGGCGGCGGGGAGGCCGGGAGCGGCCCGGAGGGGACCGAGAGCCGGUCGGGGCAGCGACGGCGCUGGCGAGAGGAGGCUGCGGGGACGGAGGCGGCCGGCGGGGCCGAGGCCGGGGCUUCCGCCGAGGCCGAGGAGGUGGCGGCCUGCGAGGCGGCCGCUGGGAGCCUGGAGGCCGGGGCGGCGGAGCCAGCACUCGGGUGGAAGAAGACAGCGAUUCAGAGACCUAUGGAGAAGAGAAUGAUGAGCAAGGAAAUUUUUCUAGAAGAAAGAUUGUCUCCAACUGGGAUCGCUAUCAAGAUACUGAAAAGGAGGUCAAUGGUGAAAGUGGAGAAUCUCAGCGGGGCACAGACUUCAGUGUCCUCCUGAGCUCUGCAGAAGACAGUUCCAACCCCAGAGAAGCUGCCUCCUUUUUCCUCUGCUUGGGACCCUCGUCCAUGGACUCGAUACCACUUACAUUUAAGGGGACUCCUUUUCACAGUUCCGAUUUGCUGAGGAGAAAGAAUGGGAUGGUGAAACUUCAUGUCCAAAACAGAAUUCAGCACUCUACGUGGACAGUGAGUCACUGGUUCGAGCCCUUGAGCAGCUGCCUCUUGCAGUCCGGCUUAAUGUUGCUUCAGAAUUGAUCCAGACCACAAUUCCUUUAGAACUUCCACAGGUGAAACCAAGGAGAAACGAUGAUGGCAAGGAGCUGGGCAUGCAUUUAAGGGGACCCAUCUCUGAGCUCAGAUCUGCUGCUGGUGCUUGCCCCAGGUCUCUGGGCAGAGGCAGUCUAAGGCAAAGCCCUUUAGAAGGUUUGCAGAAAGCACCUACCCCAACACAGUCAGUGGCAGACCACCUGGAAGAAGAACUAGAUAUGUUGCUGCAUUUAGAUGCACCUGUGCAAGAGGAAGGCAAUAUCUCUCCAGACCAGACAUCUCGGGACCAGGAACCAGAAAAAGAUGGGCAGGUAGCCCAGGAGGAAACAGGUCCUGAAAAACCUUCUGUGACCAGAGAGAAGAAUGUGGAACCUGAGCAGCCAAGCACAUCGAAGAAUGUCACCGAGGAAGAGCUGGAGGACUGGCUGGACAGCAUGAUUUCCUGAAGCGGGGUCAAGGGGGAAGAGUGCCUGAAGCAAAUGCUGGUUGCCUUCUGUGUAAUGAGCCCGUCUUGUGAGGACGGGCUCGUUUACCAGCUACCCCAUGCUAACACGUCCUGUUAUGCUUACAGCAGCCAACACCUACCUCUGUGUUUGAUGGCAUCUGAAUAUAUGUAUGAGGCUUGUUUGAGGCUUCAUUUCUGUUGUUAUCUGGCUUAGUCAUCUAAUAGAUUUCAUUAAGGACAGGGGAUGUCACAGCUACAUUUUGAACCUCCUUCCUGUCAACAUUUACAGCAUAACAGGUGGUAUUUAAGGGAAUUAGUCUCAAGGCAUGAAGUUGGUCAAAAUAAACACCUUCUGGUCUA
Mus musculus (house mouse) is the source of this 1579-nucleotide RNA transcript. It is a transcript of the gene named apoptosis, caspase activation inhibitor, with no coding region annotated. The transcript is spliced from 7 exons. The record is from RefSeq and is marked validated. NCBI's taxonomy places the organism in Eukaryota, Metazoa, Chordata, Mammalia, Rodentia, Muridae.